Molecule: ribosomal RNA, 133 nt
Filed under: uncultured bacterium
Lineage: Bacteria
Description: partial 16S ribosomal RNA
Rfam family: Bacterial small subunit ribosomal RNA
Source: RNAcentral
GGGGAAUAUUGGGCAAUGGACGCAAGUCUGACCCAGCAACGCCGCGUGAAGGAAGAAGGCUUUCGGGUUGUAAACUUCUUUUAAGGGGGAAGAGCAGAAGACGGUACCCCUUGAAUAAGCCACGGCUAACUAC